This 448-nucleotide ribosomal RNA is filed under the name uncultured bacterium. RNAcentral describes it as "bacterial SSU rRNA". It matches the Rfam family "Bacterial small subunit ribosomal RNA", at positions 330 to 792 of the family's 1533-position model. The record is from RNAcentral.
UCCAGACUCCUACGGGAGGCAGCAGUGGGGAAUAUUGGGCGAUGGAGGCAACUCUGACCCAGCAACGCCGCGUGAGUGAUGAAGGUCUUCGGAUUGUAAAACUCUUUAAGUGGGGACGAAGAAAGUGACUGUACCCACAGAAUAAGCCACGGCUAACUACGUGCCAGCAGCCGCGGUAAUACGUAGGUGGCAAGCGUUAUCCGGAUUUACUGGGUGUAAAGGGCGUGUAGGCGGGAAAGCAAGUCAGAUGUGAAAACCAUGGGCUCAACCUGUGGCCUGCAUUUGAAACUGUUUUUCUUGAGUACUGGAGAGGCAGACGGAAUUCCUAGUGUAGCGGUGAAAUGCGUAGAUAUUAGGAGGAACACCAGUGGCGAAGGCGGUCUGCUGGACAGCAACUGACGCUGAGGCGCGAAAGCGUGGGGAGCAAACAGGAUUAGAUACCCGAGUA